AACCUGAGUCAGUCAAGAAGUGUCUUAGCAAACUGUAGAGUCUUCUUGGACCUAGAAUCUCUUCCCAUUUCUUCCUCAAUGACUAAAACAUACUGCUGAGGAUGUCAGUGUUAAAUAGGAAGGGGGUAGCUCGACGUGAAAUAAUAGGGUCAGGCUUGCUGUGUAGGGAAAGGGGAGACGGUCUCUGCACAUUUUCCUCUGAAGAGGGAAGAAGUUUGAAUCGGGGACUGACAAUGGGCUGGGAGAAAUGUCAGUGACAACAAAUCAGAUAAAAAGAUAUCUUUGGCCACAGAGUUCCUUCAUUUUAUCACUUUCAACUUCUGAAUCUUCUAUUCUGAGGAUGCUCAUGGAAUUUCUGGAUGAACUUGAAGACGCUAGCAUUGGGGAGAAAAUGCAAAAGCUGGGGGUACCACUGAGCCACCAAACAGGCUCUACCAGGAACCAGACACCUUUCAGGCAAACUUAACCACCAGAAACAUCAAGGAGGAGCCCUUUAAAUGUAUAUUCCUCACACCAGAGACAUCACAAUGGUUCCCCAGGGCAAGCAGGCGAGUAGGAAUCUGCCAGACCUGGAGACACCAUAAGGCAGCAGGAAAAGGGAAAAAGGGUCUCACCUGUUCCGGCCCCUGGAAGCAGAUGCGGCAUAGUGGGGUCCUCAUGCCACUGUCCAGGCUGCUGCCCAGUCAUUGAAGAGCAUGCGGCAGCGGCACUUGAGGAGACCCUGGUGGCGCAACAUCUGGGGAGCCGGGGCACACAAUCCACAGCGGUACCAGGCACAGCAGCAACAGCAGCAGCACCACCACCACCACCAGAGCAGCCCACUCAGGGGCAUCAGCAUGUGCCCAGUGGAAGCAGAGAGCCCAGGAGGGGCAGCUGGAGUCUUUUCAGAGGAAGAUAGUAGAAUGGUUUUGAGGGGGGUCCACAGCAAAGCUGUGUUGUGGGGGGGGGAUCUGCUUUCUCACUGGCUCCCUUUACACCCCCUCAGAGUAGCAAAUCAGUUGCCCCCAAGACUGAGAACUGUGAGUCACUGGCUCUAAACUCUCCCUGGAAAGCCCGACGACAACAACAACAAAAAAGGUUUUCUUGCUUACCCCUUACCCCCCACCAACCUUAGCUUUGCUCAGGGUGUCUCCUUGUUGCCUUUGACUUGGGGACACUGGUCGGAGAAGGGAAUAAAAAAAAAUGUUGAGG
This is a long non-coding RNA of Canis lupus familiaris (dog), 1191 nucleotides long. RefSeq lists it as uncharacterized. The transcript has 2 exons. NCBI's taxonomy places the organism in Eukaryota, Metazoa, Chordata, Mammalia, Carnivora, Canidae. The record is from RefSeq and is a predicted model, not a curated record.